AUUGAACGCUAGCGGGAUGCUUUACACAUGCAAGUCGAACGAGUGGCGGACGGGUGAGUAAUAUAUCGGAACGUGCCCAGUAGCGGGGGAUAACUACUCGAAAGAGUGGCUAAUAACGCAUACUAUUGGAGCGGCCGAUAUCGGAUUAGCUAGGUGGGAGUGUAAAGGCUCACAAAGGCAACGCUCCGUAGCUGGUUGUGGAGGAGGACGAGCAACACUGGGACUGGGACACGGCCCAGACUCCUACGGGAGGCAGCAGUGGGGAAUUUUGGACAAUGGGGGAAACCCUGAUCCAGCCAUCCCGCGUGUAUGAGAAGGCCUUCGGGUUGUAAAGUACUUUUGGCAGAGAAGCGGUAUCUGCAGAAUAAGCACCGGCUAACUACGUGCCAGCAGCCGCGGUAAUUC
Molecule: ribosomal RNA, 405 nt
Filed under: uncultured bacterium
Lineage: Bacteria
Description: partial 16S ribosomal RNA
Rfam family: Bacterial small subunit ribosomal RNA
Source: RNAcentral